RNAcentral lists this ribosomal RNA (494 nucleotides) under uncultured bacterium. RNAcentral describes it as "partial 16S ribosomal RNA". It matches the Rfam family "Bacterial small subunit ribosomal RNA", at positions 28 to 507 of the family's 1533-position model. The record is from RNAcentral.
GACGAACGCUGGCGGCGUGCUUAACACAUGCAAGUCGAACGGUGAGGCGCCUUCCUUGUUGGUGUGUGUGGAGGGGUGGCGGACUGGUGAGUAACACGUUAGUAACCUUCCCCCUUCUGCUGGAUAACGGCAUGAAGGUGCUGCUAAUACGGGAUAUUCUGGGUCUGUCGCAUGAUGGGUCUGGGAAGGUUAUUGUGUCGGUUGGAGAUGGGCUCGCGGUUUAUCAGCUUGUUGGUGGGGUGAUGGCCUACCAAGGCGAUGAUGAGUAGCCGACCUGAGAGGGUGGGCCGCCACAGAGCUGCGGCACCGUGCAGACGCCUACGGGAGGCAGCAGUAGUGAGUAUUACUGCAUAGUGGGCGGCAUGAUGAUGCAGCGACGCGGCGGGGGGGAUGGUCUCCGUCGCGUAGUGAACCUCUUUCGCGAGUGAAGAUGUCCUGCCUCGUCUGUGGGUGGGUUGACGGUAGCUGGACAAGAAGCGCCGGCUAACUACGUG